RNAcentral lists this ribosomal RNA (588 nucleotides) under Trichoderma longibrachiatum. RNAcentral's name for it is "eukaryotic LSU rRNA". The stretch from base 204 to 357 matches the Rfam family "5.8S ribosomal RNA". The record is from RNAcentral. Lineage: Eukaryota; Fungi; Ascomycota; Sordariomycetes; Hypocreales; Hypocreaceae.
CCCCAAUGUGAACGUUACCAAUCUGUUGCCUCGGCGGGAUUCUCUUGCCCCGGGCGCGUCGCAGCCCCGGAUCCCAUGGCGCCCGCCGGAGGACCAACUCCAAACUCUUUUUUCUCUCCGUCGCGGCUCCCGUCGCGGCUCUGUUUUAUUUUUGCUCUGAGCCUUUCUCGGCGACCCUAGCGGGCGUCUCGAAAAUGAAUCAAAACUUUCAACAACGGAUCUCUUGGUUCUGGCAUCGAUGAAGAACGCAGCGAAAUGCGAUAAGUAAUGUGAAUUGCAGAAUUCAGUGAAUCAUCGAAUCUUUGAACGCACAUUGCGCCCGCCAGUAUUCUGGCGGGCAUGCCUGUCCGAGCGUCAUUUCAACCCUCGAACCCCUCCGGGGGGUCGGCGUUGGGGAUCGGCCCCUCACCGGGCCGCCCCCGAAAUACAGUGGCGGUCUCGCCGCAGCCUCUCCUGCGCAGUAGUUUGCACACUCGCACCGGGAGCGCGGCGCGGCCACAGCCGUAAAACACCCCAAACUUCUGAAAUGUUGACCUCGGAUCAGGUAGGAAUACCCGCUGAACUUAAGCAUAUCAAAAGCCGGAGGAA